This 2279-nucleotide ribosomal RNA is filed under the name human metagenome. RNAcentral's name for it is "bacterial LSU rRNA". It matches the Rfam family "Bacterial large subunit ribosomal RNA", at positions 3 to 2306 of the family's 2925-position model. The record is from RNAcentral.
UUAAGUUAAUAAGGGCGCACGGUGGAUGCCUUGGCACUAGGAGCCGAAGAAGGACGUGACAAACGACGAUAUGCCUUGGGUAGCUGUAAGUAAGCGAUGAUCCAGGGAUUUCCGAAUGGGGGAACCCAACAGGUACUACCUGUUACCCACAUCUGUUAAGGAUGUGAGGAGGAAGACGCAGUGAACUGAAACAUCUAAGUAGCUGCAGGAAGAGAAAGCAAAAGCGAUUGCCUUAGUAGCGGCGAGCGAAACGGCAGAAGGGCAAACCGAAGAGUUUACUCUUCGGGGUUGUAGGACUGCAAUGUGGACUCAAAGAUUAUAGAAGAAUGAUUUGGGAAGAUCAGCCAAAGAGAGUAAUAGCCUCGUAUUUAAAAUAGUCUUUGUACCUAGCAGUAUCCUGAGUACGGCGGGACACGUGAAAUCCCGUCGGAAUCUGGGAGGACCAUCUCCCAACCCUAAAUACUCCCUAGUGACCGAUAGUGAACCAGUACCGUGAGGGAAAGGUGAAAAGCACCCCGGGAGGGGAGUGAAAUAGAACCUGAAACCGUGUGCCUACAACAAGUUCGAGCCCGUUAAUGGGUGAGAGCGUGCCUUUUGUAGAAUGAACCGGCGAGUUACGUUAUGAUGCGAGGUUAAGUUGAAGAGACGGAGCCGUAGGGAAACCGAGUCUGAAUAGGGCGCCAUAGUAUCAUGACGUAGACCCGAAACCAUGUGACCUACCCAUGAGCAGGUUGAAGGUGCGGUAAGACGCACUGGAGGACCGAACCAGGGCACGUUGAAAAGUGCUUGGAUGACUUGUGGGUAGCGGAGAAAUUCCAAACGAACUUGGAGAUAGCUGGUUCUCUCCGAAAUAGCUUUAGGGCUAGCGUCGACAUUAAGAUUCUUGGAGGUAGAGCACUGUUUGGGUGAGGGGUCCAUCCCGGAUUACCAAUCUCAGAUAAACUCCGAAUGCCAAUGAAUUAUGGUCGGCAGUCAGACUGCGAGUGCUAAGAUCCGUAGUCGAAAGGGAAACAGCCCAGACCACCAGCUAAGGUCCCAAAAUAAUUGUUAAGUGGAAAAGGAUGUGGGGUUGCACAGACAACUAGGAUGUUAGCUUAGAAGCAGCUAUUCAUUCAAAGAGUGCGUAAUAGCUCACUAGUCGAGUGACCCUGCGCCGAAAAUGUACCGGGGCUAAAACAAUUUACCGAAGCUGUGGAUACCUUUAUAGGUAUGGUAGGAGAGCGUUCUAUGUGUGAUGAAGGUAUACCGUGAGGAGUGCUGGAACGCAUAGAAGUGAGAAUGCCGGUAUGAGUAGCGAAAGACAGGUGAGAAUCCUGUCCACCGUAAGACUAAGGUUUCCAGGGGAAGGCUCGUCCGCCCUGGGUUAGUCGGGACCUAAGGAGAGACCGAAAGGUGUAUCCGAUGGACAACAGGUUGAUAUUCCUGUACUAGAGUAUGUAGUGAUGGAGGGACGCAGUAGGCUAACUAAAGCAGACGAUUGGAAGUGUCUGUCUAAGCAGUUAGGUGUGAACUGAGUCAAAUGCUUAGUUCUAUAACAUUGAGCUGUGAUGGGGAGCGAAGUUUAGUAGCGAAGUUAGUGACGUCACACUGCCAAGAAAAGCUUCUAGCGUUUAAACAUACUCUACCCGUACCGCAAACCGACACAGGUAGUCGAGGCGAGUAGCCUCAGGUGAGCGAGAGAACUCUCGUUAAGGAACUCGGCAAAAUGACCCCGUAACUUCGGGAGAAGGGGUGCUGACUUUACGUCAGCCGCAGUGAAUAGGCCCAAGCAACUGUUUAUCAAAAACACAGCUCUCUGCUAAAUCGUAAGAUGAUGUAUAGGGGGUGACGCCUGCCCGGUGCUGGAAGGUUAAGAGGAGUGCUUAGCGUAAGCGAAGGUAUGAAUUGAAGCCCCAGUAAACGGCGGCCGUAACUAUAACGGUCCUAAGGUAGCGAAAUUCCUUGUCGGGUAAGUUCCGACCCGCACGAAAGGCGUAACGAUCUGGGCACUGUCUCAACGAGAGACUCGGUGAAAUUAUAGUACCUGUGAAGAUGCAGGUUACCCGCGACAGGACGGAAAGACCCCAUGGAGCUUUACUGCAGUUUGAUAUUGAGUGUCUGUACCACAUGUACAGGAUAGGUAGGAGUCUAUGAGAUCGGGACGCCAGUUUCGAAGGAGACGUUGUUGGGAUACUACCCUUGUGUUAUGGCCACUCUAACCCAGAUAGGUGAUCCCUAUCGGAGACAGUGUCUGACGGGCAGUUUGACUGGGGCGGUCGCCUCCUAAAAGGUAACGGAGG